This 253-nucleotide ribosomal RNA is filed under the name uncultured bacterium. RNAcentral describes it as "partial 16S ribosomal RNA". It matches the Rfam family "Bacterial small subunit ribosomal RNA", at positions 524 to 776 of the family's 1533-position model. The record is from RNAcentral.
UACAGAGGUCCCAAGCGUUGUUCGGAUUCACUGGGCGUAAAGGGUGCGUAGGUGGUCAGGUAAGUCUGAUGUGAAAUCUCUGGGCUCAACCCAGAAACUGCAUUGGAUACUAUCUGGCUAGAGGAGUGGAGGGGGGACUGGAAUACUUGGUGUAGCAGUGAAAUGCGUAGAUAUCAAGUGGAACACCAGUGGCGAAGGCGAGUCUCUGGGCUGAUACCGACGCUGAGGCGCGAAAGCCAGGGGAGCAAACGGG